Molecule: transfer RNA, 65 nt
Filed under: Hydroporus brevis
Lineage: Eukaryota; Metazoa; Arthropoda; Insecta; Coleoptera; Dytiscidae
Description: tRNA-Tyr
Source: RNAcentral
GGUAAAAUGGCUGAUUAUAGGCGAUAAAUUGUAAAUUUAUUUAUGAAGAUAUUCUUCUUUUACUA